This 454-nucleotide ribosomal RNA is filed under the name uncultured bacterium. Its description in RNAcentral is "bacterial SSU rRNA". It matches the Rfam family "Bacterial small subunit ribosomal RNA", at positions 340 to 788 of the family's 1533-position model. The record is from RNAcentral.
UACGGAAGGCAGCAGUGGGGAAUAUUGCACAAUGGGCGCAAGCCUGAUGCAGCCAUACCGCGUGUAUGAAGAAGGCCUUCGGGUUGUAAAGUACUUUCAGCGGGGAGGAAGGCGGUGAAGUUAAUAGCUUCACCGAUUGACGUUACCCGCAGAAGAAGCACCGGCUAACUCCGUGCCAGCAGCCGCGGUAAUACGGAGGGUGCAAGCGUUAAUCGGAAUUACUGGGCGUAAAGCGCACGCAGGCGGUCUGUCAAGUCGGAUGUGAAAUCCCCGGGCUUAACCUGGGAACUGCAUUCGAAACUGGCAGGCUAGAGUCUUGUAGAGGGGGUAGAAUUCUAGGUGUAGCGGUGAAAUGCGUAGAGAUCUGGAGGAAUACCGGUGGCGAAGGCGGCCCCUGGACAAGACUGACGCUCAGGGUGCGAAAGCGUGGGGAGCAAACAGGAUUAGAUACCUU